Pelobates fuscus (common spadefoot toad) is the source of this 730-nucleotide long non-coding RNA. RefSeq lists it as uncharacterized. NCBI's taxonomy places the organism in Eukaryota, Metazoa, Chordata, Amphibia, Anura, Pelobatidae. The transcript is spliced from 3 exons. The record is from RefSeq and is a predicted model, not a curated record.
GGAGAAGUAUAUUCCUGAAGAAGAAGUAGCCCAAUGGAAUAUCCAUGUUUUGCAUCACAGCAACCAGGAGGAUUCCAGCAGCUGUGGAGUUUUGAUCUUGAUGUUUGCCAAGGAGUUUCUUCAGACCAGAACCAUACAGGCAGUGAAGACCUCUGCAGAAGAUGUAGCUAAUGCUCGACUGGAAAUAUCGUCUGCCCUACUCCAGUAUAAAGUUCCAGAGGGAAGGAGCAAACCCAUUUGAGGAGUCCCUGCAUAAGAGACUAUUGGAUAUUGAAGGGCUGUACUACAGUGGCGGCUCUAGACUUGGCGAGGCUUUAGUCGAAACUCAUACAUGAGGCCACCACGAACACCAUUAUUGAAAAGGAAAAAAAAAAUAGCAGUUGACUUUGUGUAUAAGAAGCUGUAAAUAUAUUGAUGGGGGAGCUUCCAGCACUGGAUACAGAGAGCUAGUCUCUGUUUACAUCGUUGCAAUGUCUACCUGAGUGUGUGUCUGGCAGUGAGUAUCCUUGUAUCUGUAUGUAUGUUUCUCUGAGCAAGUGUAUGUUUGUGUACUGCCUGUGGCCUUUGGCACUGAGUUUAUGGCAAAGCUCUGUCUUAUGACAGUGUGUAUAAUGAUUGCCUUCAGGGGGUGGCAGGGUGAGUGUAAAAGAGCAGGAGGGUGCCAGAGUGUUGACAGUGUGUAUGGAGGGAGGUGCCAAAGUGCGGAGAGUGGUGCCCGUGUGAGAAUAGA